This 481-nucleotide ribosomal RNA is filed under the name uncultured bacterium. Its description in RNAcentral is "bacterial SSU rRNA". It matches the Rfam family "Bacterial small subunit ribosomal RNA", at positions 34 to 507 of the family's 1533-position model. The record is from RNAcentral.
CGCUGGCGGCGUGCUUAACACAUGCAAGUCGAACGAUGAAGCUGGAGCUUGCUCCAGUGGAUUAGUGGCGAACGGGUGAGUAACACGUGAGCAAUCUGCCCUUGACUCUGGGAUAACUGCGGGAAACUGUAGCUAAUACCGGAUACGACACCUUGGGGCAUCCCGAGGUGUGGAAAGAAUUUCGGUCAAGGAUGAGCUCGCGGCCUAUCAGCUAGUUGGUGAGGUAAAGGCUCACCAAGGCGACGACGGGUAGCUGGUCUGAGAGGACGACCAGCCACACUGGAACUGAGACACGGUCCAGACUCCUACGGGAGGCAGCAGUGGGGAAUUUUGGACAAUGGGCGCAAGCCUGAUCCAGCAAUGCCGCGUGCAGGAAGAAGGCCUUCGGGUUGUAAACUGCUUUUGUACGGAACGAAACGGUCUGGGCUAAUACCCCGGGCUAAUGACGGUACCGUAAGAAUAAGCACCGGCUAACUACGUG